Molecule: ribosomal RNA, 392 nt
Filed under: uncultured bacterium
Lineage: Bacteria
Description: partial 16S ribosomal RNA
Rfam family: Bacterial small subunit ribosomal RNA
Source: RNAcentral
ACACGUAGGGGCCUGACGUUGUUCGGAAUCAUUGGGCGUAAAGGGCGCGCAGGCGGCCGUCCAAGUCCGGUGUUAAAUGGUCGGGCUCAACCCGAUCAUGCGCUGGAAACUGGGCGGCUGGAGUCCCGGAGGGGAUGCCGGAAUUCCAGGUGUAGGGGUGAAAUCUGUAGAUAUCUGGAAGAACACCGAUGGCGAAGGCCGGCAUCUGGCCGGAGGCUGGCGCUGAGGCGCGAGGGCGCGGGGAGCGAACAGGUUUAGAUACCCGGGUAGUCCGCGCAGUAAACGAUGCGCACCAGGUGUCGGGCGGCAGCGCCCGGUACCGGAGCAAACGCGAUGAGUGCGCCGCCUGGGGAGUAUGCCCGCAAGGGUGAAACUCAAAUGAAUUGACGGGG